CUAAUUUCAUUGCUCAUAUACUUCUUAGUCAUCAAAACAUUCAUGAUUGCUUGGUCCAUUCCAGUCCAUCCCCUUGAACUAAUAUAUUGAGCAGAUGACGACCACAAAAGCUUCUACAAGCUGCUACAUCAUCAUAUAGCUUGAUCUUUAAGAAAUCUCACAGAGAAGAAGAAACAAAGUAGUCGCACAUCAUCUCAACCUUGGUCACAAGGGAACAUCCCCUCAUCCUUAUCCCCAGUGAGCAAGAUUUAGGCUUCUUUCUCCCUUGUUUCCACAUACAUCAGCAAACAUGUACAGAGGUGCUGCAACAUCUUGUAUCUUAAUCAUUCGAAACCCAUCAUGGUCCCCUGUAGGAAAACACAAAGUGAAGGUGGCCGACGACCCAAGUAGUUCUCCUUCGACAAGCCAACCUAGCUAGAAGAUGGGAAUCCUUUUGUCACCUCCAGUAUUGAACUGGAACGGGGGAGGAGAUGAAGGCCCAUGAAUCAGAAUACAGUGAACCGAAAGGGAGAGGGAAUAAUCCAGGGUGUUCUUGCGAGGUCACGGAGGUGGGGCGCGGGGAACAGCGGUGGCCGGUGCCUCACUGUUCCCUUAUUUGAUCAUGUGCAUGCAUGUGCAGUACGUUGGGAGAACAUGAUCUUUGACGCAAGCAAACCCUGUCCACCCCACCUCAUCACUCUCUCUCUCUCUCUCUCUCUCUCUCUCUCUCUCUCUCACACACACACACACACACACACACGCAGUUAUAUAUAAGUUUCCUUGUGUGUUACUGGGUCGUGUAGCAAUCCCUCCUCUUCUCUCUCUCUCUCCAUCUUUCUCGCUCGCUCUUUCUUUCUGCAGACAUCCAUUUACAUCUGCAAGCCAAAAAGAUCGGCGACGAGACGCCGAUCUCAAGAAGGUUUGCUCUUGGUUCUCCGGCCAUGCAUGCCCGAGUGCUCGGAGGAAGGAAGCAGAUGGCCAGAACCAAGAGGGUUGGUGGUGCAACCGUAAGAUGGACCGGGAAGCCAUUGAUCUCGAAGAAGAGAACCGCACGAAGCAGAAAGGCCAUGAGCUGCAUCGAAAGGAAGCUCGAGGUGCUGCAGGAGCUGGUGCCCAACGGGCCCUCCGUGCAGGAGCUCGACGGGCUCUUCCGUGAGGCUGCCAACUACAUCGUGUGCCUGCAGGUGCAGGUGAAGGUGAUGCAGAUCCUGCUCGAUGAACUGUCGCCGAAGGUUUCCGAUAACUAGUCGAUCCUCCUCCUCCUCCUCCUGCUGCUGUAAAUUUGCAGUGGCAGUGGCGAAGAGUAUCACGCUGUGAGCUCAAUGAUUCGUUUUUUGGGGGAAUGUAAUUAGACGUUCGUCGAUACAUGUCUUCCAAUUAAAUCGUGGACUGUUGCGUAUAGAAUGAGAGUUGGCUGUGCUCUGGUCAUGUAUUCUUUGGAUUCCAGUUGGGAAAGCAUGAGAAAAGAUCUAAGAGUUCUAUGUUUUCUUAUCUAUGUGCAUGAGAUUAUAGAAUCCUCUUAUCGGUCCACAUUUGCGAAUGUAGGGUUCUUAAUGACCGCAUUAACCAACUAACACCACGAUUAAUCGACCAAAGCUCGCUGUCAAAUGUCCCACGGAUCAAACCCGUAGGUGUCAGGUUCGUGUUGGAUUCGAUGUCGGGUCGGGUUAGGCUUUUCUGUAAACCGGAUCAAAUCCAUGUUAUGUUCAAUUGAAGAUUCGUGAUUCCAACCCAACCCAAGACAACCCGAUCCGGCCCAAUAAGAUUGGAUAUUCGGGCCAUUCGGCCGCCAGCUUGGGUUUUUGGGUUGGCCUUUACUUACGAAUCAGAAUCUAACACCAUUCGUAAAGCGUGACGGACGCAGAUUACGCGUUGAAUGAGCCGUACAGAUCCCGAUUCCGGAUCAAUGGGUAGCUCGACAUCACGUGCUACGGAAGAGGGUUUAGGGUUCCUCGGUGUCCCGUGCUAUGGAGGCAAGCUCCCCGGUUGGAUCCCGGAGUCGAACUAAGAAGAGUCUGAAUCCGGUCGAUUCCAAUCAACAUCCCAGAAAUUUCUUUCCAUCUCUUCGUCGGAUGGGUUUCCUCUACAACACACCUCGUGAUUUGUUACUUAGAAGGAUAUCUUGAUCACUCUGUUUCUUGUUGAAUGGAAAGGAUAUGUUGAUCCCUCUUAUUCGUGUUGAAUUUGCUGAAGUUUAUGUUUGUCUGGUGUCAUGUCAAAGGAAAGUAACAGGAUCUUUAUUAGUUUCAACUUUGUUAUCUACAUUCCAAUUUGAUGGGCUUGCGAGACGAGCGGAUUCUGACUGGUGUUGGCUCAUGCUUUUUCUUUGAGAUAACAUCGUCAAGUUUCUAAAAAUUAUACCUUGAUUGGCAAAAGAAUUCAUAAUUAGUUGUUCUAUUUGGUUUGCUUCUGAAAAAUAUCCGACAAGUAUCAUUAUCUGAUUCAUAUAUGAUAUGGAUUCCACAUGCAUUUUGAAUUGUGUAUGUUCUGUAGAUUGCUCUGAAGCUGUAUAUUUGUUUUGUCCAUGGGAUCAACUGAUUCUUUCCACAUGGAGUUUGGGCUUCUCUUUAGAGCCUCUCUUUCCCUGCUCGCUUUAUCAUGUCAUCAUGUUGCUGCUCUGUUUUUCAAUAUUGUUGCAAGAAACUAUUCCAGUCUGUAGAAUAAUUUGGUUAUCUUUGUCCUUUUCCUAUCCUUCUCUUCUUUAGAGUCUGGGUUUCUCUUCUUUCCUUUUCCUAUCAUGACAUUUUGCUCUUCAGCUUUCAUGUCAAAUAAUGUAACUGAUUGAAGAAAUGCUUCAAUAACACAGUAUACUGACCAAAAUAUUUUGGCAGUUGAGAGGAAGUACCCUGAGGUGCAACACAAGCUGGUGUAUCAAUUUGAAGAUAAACCUCACUACAGAUCUCCUUACCUUUUCAGAAGUGUAAGCAUGACAAAGUCUUCCAGUGUUUACUGAUCAGGUUCACAUGGGUGCCUGUGAUUCAGAUUUUGGUUCAAUUGCUACCAUUUGCAUAGUUAGCCUUAACUGAAACUGUUUAUUCAGUUGAUAGCAAUAUAAAUAGAUCUGCUGGAUAAUCUCAUUUCCCCUCCUCCAUGAUUAUUUUUCGAGCUGAGCAUUUAUAUAUUAUCAUUUUGUCUUGCUUCCAUCUUUCGUUUAAACAUCCCUCCAUCUUUCAUCCAGCCAUCGACUGGGUCAUUGGCUUCAUCUGAUUAGAAUCUUGGCUUGAAGUUUGUCAUUGCUAUUUAAAGGACAGGAUACAUCAGGAGUUUUUCAUGAUGUAUAGAUUCCAAAGCCAUGGACAAGGGAGGUUUAUUGGCACUGCAAAAAAUCAAGCAAAUUGGUCAUCAAGUUAUAUGCAUGAAUGGCUUUGGCGCAUUAACUGGCCAUCAUAAAUUCAUGAUGAUACAUUUCUGAUUUGCCAUUGCAACAGGAUCAUGAGUUGUCUCAAUCUGAAACUGAGCUUUUACCAACUAUCAAGCCUCCAAGAACAGGCUGUGGAUCUGUGCAACAGAAGCUACCACGUGCAAGUGCAGUCCCCAUCGGACUUCUCAAGAGGUCUACGUUUCAUUUCUCCCCUCCAAGAACAUACUUUUCUGAGUGUACAGUGGGGUGCAGAGCCUGCAGCGACAUCUACAUCCAGUCUCCAAAUCAUUAUCAUGUGUUUUUUGCUUUAUGCCUUCUUUUUCUGGUGAGAUUAUGGUUGAUUGAGUUGUGCCAGCUGAUCAAAUUGGCUCAUCUGUUUCAUCUUAUGGCAGUCCACGUUUCUGGUGGUGUGGUUUUGCCAAGUACAUUGGUUUUCUGCUGCAUGGAAGUCAUCCAAAGAAGCCACAUGGUAGCUGCAUUGCUAAUUCAAAUCUGGCCUCAUGGAGUUUUCCUCAUAAUCAAGAAUAAAAGUUGAAAUGCUUUAUGCUGAUUCAACUUGAGAAUGAUACAAAGAGAUUCCUUGUCUUCUAUAAAGAUUAAUACCAAAGUUUUUUCUCCUUGGUCAACUGGAGGACAGCCAAGUAUUCACUCACAGUGGAGCCCAAGCAAUAAGUGAUCAAGGAAAAUGACUCCCUCCCAACUUCCGGCUUCACAAGUCAACCAGCACAAGAGAUGAAGAUAGUACAUGAUGGCCUGAUGAUGAGAGUAACGAGCAUGAUCCAAGAAUCCACCGCUAAUACAGCCCUCAGAUUUGUUGCUGUGCUUUAAGUUCAGGACUUAUGUGUCUCUUUGUUUGCCAAAUUCCUGUACUUUGGAAAGAAAAACUCUGCAUUUCAACGACAUCUGGGCUCCAAAUUAUAAAAGCCUAACUACUUUUUUGUGUUAUUGUCAACAUGAAUGAUGGAAUAAAUUCCUUGGGAUA
Long non-coding RNA from Musa acuminata AAA Group (dessert banana), 4322 nucleotides. RefSeq lists it as uncharacterized. Lineage: Eukaryota; Viridiplantae; Streptophyta; Magnoliopsida; Zingiberales; Musaceae. The record is from RefSeq and is a predicted model, not a curated record. The transcript is spliced from 2 exons.